UACGAAGGGUGCUAGCGUUGUUCGGAAUGACUGGGCGUAAAGGGUGCGUAGGCGGCCAGAAACGUCUGAUGUGAAAUCCCUGGGCUUAACCUAGGAACUGCAUUGGAUACGGUCUGGCUAGAGUCCGCGAGAGGAAGAUGGAAUUGUGCGUGUAGAGGUGAAAUUCGUAGAUAUGCACAAGAACACCGGUGGCGAAGGCGAUCUUCUGGAGCGGUACUGACGCUAAGGCACGAAAGUGUGGGGAGCAAACAGGAUUAGAUACCCUGGUAGUCCACACUGUAAACGAUGAUUAUUAGAUGUCGGGAGGGUUACCUUUCGGUAUCGCAGCUAACGCAUUAAAUAAUCCGCCUGGGGAGUACGGUCGCAAGAUUA
RNAcentral lists this ribosomal RNA (372 nucleotides) under uncultured prokaryote. RNAcentral's name for it is "bacterial SSU rRNA". It matches the Rfam family "Bacterial small subunit ribosomal RNA", at positions 524 to 896 of the family's 1533-position model. The record is from RNAcentral.